CAACUUUCAACAACGGAUCUCUUGGCUCUCGCAUCGAUGAAGAACGCAGCGAAAUGCGAUAAGUAAUGUGAAUUGCAGAAUUCAGUGAAUCAUCGAAUCUUUGAACGCACCUUGCGCUCCUUGGUAUUCCGAGGAGCAUGCCUGUUUGAGUGUCAGUA
Molecule: ribosomal RNA, 158 nt
Filed under: Amanita sp. TO AV20113
Lineage: Eukaryota; Fungi; Basidiomycota; Agaricomycetes; Agaricales; Amanitaceae
Description: 5.8S ribosomal RNA
Rfam family: 5.8S ribosomal RNA
About the family: 5.8S ribosomal RNA (5.8S rRNA) is a component of the large subunit of the eukaryotic ribosome. It is transcribed by RNA polymerase I as part of the 45S precursor that also contains 18S and 28S rRNA.
Source: RNAcentral